UACGUAGGGGGCAAGCGUUGUCCGGAUUUAUUGGGCGUAAAGAGCGUGUAGGCGGCUAGGUAGGUCCGUUGUGAAAACUCGAGGCUCAACCUCGAGCUGUCGAUGGAAACCAUCUGGCUAGAGUCCGGAAGAGGAGAGUGGAAUUCCUGGUGUAGCGGUGAAAUGCGCAGAUAUCAGGAGGAACACCGGCGGCGAAGGCGGCCCUCUGGACGGUGACUGACGCUGAGACGCGAAAGCGUGGGGAGCAAACAGG
RNAcentral lists this ribosomal RNA (253 nucleotides) under uncultured bacterium. RNAcentral's name for it is "partial 16S ribosomal RNA". It matches the Rfam family "Bacterial small subunit ribosomal RNA", at positions 524 to 776 of the family's 1533-position model. The record is from RNAcentral.